GACCUCUGCCUCAAAUCAGGAGGACUACCCGCUGAACUUAAGCAUAUCAAACCGGA
RNAcentral lists this ribosomal RNA (56 nucleotides) under Ganoderma lucidum. RNAcentral describes it as "partial 28S ribosomal RNA". Lineage: Eukaryota; Fungi; Basidiomycota; Agaricomycetes; Polyporales; Polyporaceae. The record is from RNAcentral.